UCCUCGGGAGGCAGCAGUGGGGAAUAUUGCACAAUGGGGGAAACCCUGAUGCAGCGACGAGCGUGCGGGAUGACGGCCUUCGGGUUGUAAACCGCUUUCAGCAGGGAAGAAGCCCUUCGGGGUGACGGUACCUGCAGAAGAAGUACCGGCUAACUACGUGCCAGCAGCCGCGGUAA
RNAcentral lists this ribosomal RNA (176 nucleotides) under uncultured Brevibacterium sp. RNAcentral describes it as "partial 16S ribosomal RNA". It matches the Rfam family "Bacterial small subunit ribosomal RNA", at positions 337 to 523 of the family's 1533-position model. The record is from RNAcentral. Lineage: Bacteria; Bacillati; Actinomycetota; Actinomycetes; Micrococcales; Brevibacteriaceae.